Molecule: ribosomal RNA, 128 nt
Filed under: uncultured bacterium
Lineage: Bacteria
Description: partial 16S ribosomal RNA
Source: RNAcentral
ACGUCAAUGAGCAAAGGUAUUAACUUUACUCCCUUCCUCCCCGCUGAAAGUACUUUACAACCCGAAGGCCUUCUUCAUACACGCGGCAUGGCUGCAUCAGGCUUGCGCCCAUUGUGCAAUAUUCCCCA